This is an unclassified non-coding RNA of Calidris pygmaea (Spoon-billed sandpiper), 174 nucleotides long. Lineage: Eukaryota; Metazoa; Chordata; Aves; Charadriiformes; Scolopacidae. The record is from Ensembl.
AGGAUUGACAUUCUUAAAUCUCCCUUUUAUCCAUAGAAAAGAUAAAGCAUAGUCAGAAAAUAUGCAGGUUUCCUGACAUUUUCAGUCCAACAUGCCUUCAUUUGACCUGAAGGGACACCUCUGCAGGAGGGAAACGCAGUUUAGUCACCAUUCUCAUUUUAAUCCUUGGCCUCG